UAGGGAAUCUUCCACAAUGGACGCAAGUCUGAUGGAGCAACGCCGCGUGAGUGAAGAAGGUUUUCGGAUCGUAAAGCUCUGUUGUUGGUGAAGAAGGAUAGAGGCAGUAACUGGUCUUUAUUUGACGGUAAUCAACCAGAAAGUCACGGCUAACUACGUGCCAGCAGCCGCCGUAAUACGUAGGUGGCAAGCGUUGUCCGGAUUUAUUGGGCGUAAAGCGAGCGCAGGCGGAAUGAUAAGUCUGAUGUGAAAGCCCACGGCUCAACCGUGGAACUGCAUCGGAAACUGUCAUUCUUGAGUGCAGAAGAGGAGAGUGGAAUUCCAUGUGUAGCGGUGGAAUGCGUAGAUAUAUGGAAGAACACCAGUGGCGAAGGCGGCUCUCUGGUCUGCAACUGACGCUGAGGCUCGAAAGCAUGGGUAGCGAACAGG
RNAcentral lists this ribosomal RNA (429 nucleotides) under bacterium. Its description in RNAcentral is "partial 16S ribosomal RNA". It matches the Rfam family "Bacterial small subunit ribosomal RNA", at positions 355 to 776 of the family's 1533-position model. The record is from RNAcentral.